UUAAACUAUUAAGUUGUGUUAGUCUACUUGGACCAAUGUAACAAAUUACCACAGACUGAGUGGCCUAUAAACAAUAUUUAUUUCUCAGAGUUCUGGAAGCUGGGAAGUCCAAGAUCAAGGUGCCCAGGGAUUCAGUAUCUAGAAAGGCCUGGUUCUGUUUUUUUGUACCUUCUUGCUGUGUCCUUACAUAGUGGAUGCAGUGCUCUGAGGCCUUUUUUAUGAGGUAUCACACCUCACUCCUGAGGGCUCCAUCUACGAAAGAGGGAAGAGAACCUGCUGAAGAGGAAGCUUAUGCUGGGGUCAGGCUGGAUGGGUAGGCUGUUCCUUCCUUUGCAAACAAGGACUCUGGGACCAGGUUUCCUAUGGUUGUGCCCGUUUCUUCCAUACUUUAAGCCUGUGGACCCCUUGGGGCGGUUGCUAGGUUACAGCAAGUUCUAGAGGAGGAAAAGACCAUGGGGAGAGCAGUCCUGGGAGGAGGUAAAGCCAAGAGGCUCUCUCCUGACUGCUUGGUGGACGCCUUCACCUUUGUACAGAGGAGAAAUUCAGUGUCAUUGAUCUCUGAGAUCCCGUAAGCUCAUAACCAUCUUUAACUGCCUCUCUGCUCCAAGAACCGCUCCCCCAUGCUCUCAGAGAUCGAGACAGGGAAGUGGCAGGGCCGUGAGCGGCAGUGGGGGCUACUUACUGUUCCCAGCUGUCUUUCACCGGCUGCACACAUUUGAAGCCACAGUGCCAGUAGCAACAAAUCUUCUGAUCCUUACAGUCGUUGUCAUUGUGACACUGGGGAUCCUCUCCCCUGAUGCAGCGGACAUUGUCCGGCGGGCAAACUCCUUUUUCUUUAUUUGGUGGAAGAAGGCACAAGCCAAUCCUAGGGAUGACAUCCCCACCUCCGAAAUGGGUUCGCUGUGUGCCAAGCAUACUGGUAGGAAGGGUUUUGUUCCUGGAAUUCGGGAAGGCUGCCCAGUUUGCUGAAGUGAGCAGAAAGUCUUCACAGGGUGAGCAUCUACAUCUUUGCACCAUGUGCGUGUCUGGUGCCUGAGGAGUCCCAGAAGAGGACACUGGAUCCCCUGGAGCUGGGCUUACAGAUCAUUGUGAGCCACCCCGUGAAUGCAGGGAAUAGAACCUGGGACCUCUGGAGGAGCUGCCGCUGCUCUUAACCACCGUGCUAUUUCUCCACAUCCUCUUCUAUCUUUGUCAGUCAAUGUUACCAUCAAACGGAGAUGAGACCCAGUUUCACUAAGAACACUAAGCCCAAUGCUCCCAUCAGGUGUAAAUGACUAAAUCUGUACAUAAAACUUUACACCUUGUGAUGGUUAGAUCACAAAGUAGGCGCCCCGAGAUGGCGGUGCAGACCUAAGACGGCUCCCUGAGCCUACCUGGGGCAGAUGGCCACGAGUAAAUAGAAACUUAACCACCAGCAUUUCUCAGAAACCCUGUGACUCAGGGAUUUUGGCUUUCAGAUAACUGCAAUUUCCAAGGUCCCCCUCCCCUAAAUGGCCACCUACCACAGGCAAAAGGACAUUUGAUACUCAUAAAGUGGCCUCAUUGCAAUCAGGCACAGACCCUUUCCAGUAGGCUUGACCUGGGGAUCUUGUUCUAUCCAAGAUAGGAAAAAAAAAAUGUGAGAGGGAAGGAUCUGCUCUUAAGCCUUCAGAAGCCCUGCAAAGCCUACCCGUUCUCCUGGCCGGGCUGCUUGCUGUUCACUACCUUUGUGAGACAGCUCAGCAGUUGUUUCUCCAAUAAACUUUUUCUUCCCCCGUGCA
This is a non-coding RNA of Rattus norvegicus (Norway rat), 1760 nucleotides long. The record is from RefSeq and is a predicted model, not a curated record. Lineage: Eukaryota; Metazoa; Chordata; Mammalia; Rodentia; Muridae.